GACGAACGCUGGCGGCGUGCCUAAUACAUGCAAGUCGAGCGCAGGAAACUGACGGAACUCUUCGGAGGGAAGGCAGUGGAAUGAGCGGCGGACGGGUGAGUAACACGUAAGGAACCUGCCUCAAGGAUUGGGAUAACUCCGAGAAAUCGGAGCUAAUACCGGAUAGUUCAACGGACCGCAUGGUCCGCUGAUGAAAGGCGCUCCGGCGUCACCUUGAGAUGGCCUUGCGGUGCAUUAGCUAGUUGGUGGGGUAACGGCCCACCAAGGCGACGAGGCAUAGCCGACCUGAGGAGGUGAUGGGCCACACGGGGACUGAGACACGGCCCAGACUCCUACGGGAGGCAGCAGUAGGGAAUCUUCAACAAUGGACGAAAGUCUGAUGGAGCAACGCCGCGUGAGUGAUGAAGGUUUUCGGAUCGUAAAACUCUGUUGUAAGGGAAGAACGCGUACGAGAGGAAAUGCUCGUACCUUGACGGUACCUUACGAGAAAGCCACGGCUAACUACGUGCCAGCCGCCGCAGUAA
RNAcentral lists this ribosomal RNA (524 nucleotides) under uncultured bacterium. Its description in RNAcentral is "partial 16S ribosomal RNA". It matches the Rfam family "Bacterial small subunit ribosomal RNA", at positions 28 to 523 of the family's 1533-position model. The record is from RNAcentral.